UACGUAGGGUGCGAGCGUUAAUCGGAAUUACUGGGCGUAAAGCGUGCGCAGGCAGUUUUGUAAGCCAGAUGUGAAAUCCCCGGGCUUAACCUGGGAAUGGCAUUUGGGACUGCAAGGCUGGAGUGUGGCAGAGGAGACUGGAAUUCCUGGUGUAGCAGUGAAAUGCGUAGAUAUCAGGAGGAAUACCGAUGGCGAAGGCAGGUCUCUGGGCUGACACUGACGCUCAUGCACGAAAGCGUGGGGAGCAAACAGG
Molecule: ribosomal RNA, 253 nt
Filed under: uncultured bacterium
Lineage: Bacteria
Description: partial 16S ribosomal RNA
Rfam family: Bacterial small subunit ribosomal RNA
Source: RNAcentral